UACGUAGGGUGCAAGCGUUGAUCGGAAUUACUGGGCGUAAAGCGUGCGCAGGCGGUUUUGUAAGUUUGUCGUGAAAGCCCCGGGCUCAACCUGGGAAUUGCGAUGAAGACUGCAAGGCUUGAAUCUGGCAGAGGGGGGUAGAAUUCCACGUGUAGCAGUGAAAUGCGUAGAGAUGUGGAGGAACACCGAUGGCGAAGGCAGCCCCCUGGGUCAAGAUUGACGCUCAUGCACGAAAGCGUGGGGAGCAAGCAGG
This 253-nucleotide ribosomal RNA is filed under the name uncultured bacterium. RNAcentral describes it as "partial 16S ribosomal RNA". It matches the Rfam family "Bacterial small subunit ribosomal RNA", at positions 524 to 776 of the family's 1533-position model. The record is from RNAcentral.